CUGCUGCUUGGGGUCCCGACCGCGGCCGGAGCCGCGCAACGCGGGCCGAACGCGGCGCUCCUCGGGCAGCCCCUCCUCCUUCUCCGCUCCCCGCACAGGAAAAGCGAGCCGGCCCGACCCCGCUCCCCGCCCCGCAAGAACCCACCACAGCGGCCGGGCAGCGCCGAGAUGCUGACCCUGCGGCCUCAGGACAUGGGGUGGGAGGAAGCAGCAAGGCGGAUCACAGCAGAAGCGCAGCCCCUGCAGACCCAGGGGAUUGAGCCGCAGGUGCUCCGUGAACAGGGGCCCCCCAUGAACAGGAGCCCAUCAAAAAGGCUGAAGCGUCGAUCAGAAUUUAACCCUGUCACAGCAGGGAGAGCUGUGACAGCGCUCAGCUCACCUCCACAGUUCAUAGUUGCUCCAAAUCGUUUACAAGGGAACAAGGUGGUUGCAGAAGUUGUUUGGCUUUUGAAAAGAGGAUUAUAGGUGACUUCAAGGUUAAGAAACAAAUACCAUCAAUUUUACAGGUUGUUUAUCCAGUGUUCCAUUUUUCCCUUUCUGAACUUGACAUUAAGAACUCCCACAGGCGUACAAUGGUUUGUUUUGGUGGGUUUUUUUUGCAUUUGUGUGUGGCAAUAUUAGCUUGCCAGUGUAAAAGCUGACACAUUACAACUUCCAUCUCAACAUACAGGCUGGAGGAAAUCUCAGAGAAGAACACAGAGAUGC
Molecule: long non-coding RNA, 705 nt
Organism: Numida meleagris (helmeted guineafowl)
Lineage: Eukaryota; Metazoa; Chordata; Aves; Galliformes; Numididae
Exons: 2
Source: RefSeq, a predicted model, not a curated record